Dermacentor albipictus is the source of this 535-nucleotide non-coding RNA. The record is from RefSeq and is a predicted model, not a curated record. NCBI's taxonomy places the organism in Eukaryota, Metazoa, Arthropoda, Arachnida, Ixodida, Ixodidae.
GCCGUGAAAAAGUAGGUGCAGCGUUAUAGUCGCCAAUAUCUAUUCCUAUCCCGGUGUAGCUCAAGGUGCCUAGGAUGAUUCAUAUCAGCAAAGUUUCACCAGUGGUUGUUCUGGUCAUGGCAACGUUCUUAUCCUGUGGAGUGCGACUGUCGUGUGGCCUCGCUACAAAUGAAGAUGGCGUCACCACGGGCACAGCAACCCCUAAUCCGCAAAAAAAUUUUAUGGACCAACUGCGUGAGAUGGUUGCCGACGCCUUUGACCGUUCAUGGUCGGCUACUUCGCGGAGACUAGUGCAAGCUGAAGUGUCACCCACUUGCAGCGCUGGUCUCUUGAAUAUGGCGCGUGGCUUGAGGAACUUGGAGCCUUGGGCAUUUCGUUUGUUCGACGCGUCCGGCAAGUACCCCAAUGGCAUCUUACAAGCCACAAACUCUGAUCCGGGAGCGUUCGACGAGUGCAUCGAGACUGUGCUGCAUGACCCGCUGUCGGGCCGCGAGACCCUACGUGCACAGUAUUGCAACCUCCGGCUGCGGCUCGC